CCUACGGGAGGCUGCAGUGGGGAAUAUUGCACAAUGGGCGCAAGCCUGAUGCAGCCAUGCCGCGUGUGUGAAGAAGGCCUUCGGGUUGUAAAGCACUUUCAGCGGGGAGGAAGGCGGUGAGGUUAAUAACCUCAUCGAUUGACGUUACCCGCAGAAGAAGCACCGGCUAACUCCGUGCCAGCAGCCGCGGUAAUACGGAGGGUGCAAGCGUUAAUCGGAAUUACUGGGCAUAAAGCGCACGCAGGCGGUCUGUCAAGUCGGAUGUGAAAUCCCCGGGCUCAACCUGGGAACUGCAUUCGAAACUGGCAGGCUAGAGUCUUGUAGAGGGGGGUAGAAUUCCAGGUGUAGCGGUGAAAUGCGUAGAGAUCUGGAGGAAUACCGGUGGCGAAGGCGGCCCCCUGGACAAAGACUGACGCUCAGGUGCGAAAGCGUGGGGAGCAAACAGGAUUAGAUACCCCGGUAGUC
Molecule: ribosomal RNA, 465 nt
Filed under: uncultured Klebsiella sp.
Lineage: Bacteria; Pseudomonadati; Pseudomonadota; Gammaproteobacteria; Enterobacterales; Enterobacteriaceae
Description: bacterial SSU rRNA
Rfam family: Bacterial small subunit ribosomal RNA
Source: RNAcentral